GCGGGAUUAGUUCACCGGUAGAACGACUGCUUUCCAAGCAGUAUGUAAGGGGUUCAAUUCCCCUAUCCCGCU
Molecule: transfer RNA, 72 nt
Filed under: Candidatus Daviesbacteria bacterium RIFCSPHIGHO2_01_FULL_40_24
Lineage: Bacteria; Candidatus Daviesiibacteriota
Also listed under: 5 other names
Description: tRNA-Gly
Rfam family: tRNA
About the family: Transfer RNA (tRNA) molecules are approximately 80 nucleotides in length. Their secondary structure includes four short double-helical elements and three loops (D, anti-codon, and T loops). Further hydrogen bonds mediate the characteristic L-shaped molecular structure. tRNAs have two regions of fundamental functional importance: the anti-codon, which is responsible for specific mRNA codon recognition, and the 3' end, to which the tRNAs corresponding amino acid is attached (by aminoacyl-tRNA synthetases). tRNAs cope with the degeneracy of the genetic code in two manners: having more than one tRNA (with a specific anti-codon) for a particular amino acid; and 'wobble' base-pairing, i.e. permitting non-standard base-pairing at the 3rd anti-codon position.
Source: RNAcentral